GAUGAACGCUAGCGGCAGGCUUAAUACAUGCAAGUCGAGGGGCAGCGGGAGUAGCAAUACUUGCCGGCGACCGGCGCACGGGUGCGUAACACGUAUGUAAUCUGCCCAUCACAGGAGGAUAGCCCGGAGAAAUUCGGAUUAAUACUCCAUAAUAGAAGAUAAAGCAUUUUAUUUCUUGAAAGUUCCGACGGUGAUGGAUGAACAUGCGACUGAUUAGCUAGUUGGUGAGGUAACGGCUCACCAAGGCGACGAUGCGUAGCCGACCUGAGAGGGUGAUCGGCCACACUGGGACUGAGACACGGCCCAGACUCCUACGGGAGGCAGCAGUGGGGAAUAUUGGACAAUGGGGGAAACCCUGAUCCAGCAAUGCCGCGUGAAUGAAGAAGGCCUUAGGGUUGUAAAGUUCUUUUGUCCGUGACGAUAAUGACGGUAGCGGACGAAUAAGCCCUGGCUAACUCUGUGCCAGCAGCCGCGGUAAAGUACAGUGU
Molecule: ribosomal RNA, 488 nt
Filed under: uncultured bacterium
Lineage: Bacteria
Description: bacterial SSU rRNA
Rfam family: Bacterial small subunit ribosomal RNA
Source: RNAcentral